Molecule: ribosomal RNA, 229 nt
Filed under: Staphylococcus aureus
Lineage: Bacteria; Bacillati; Bacillota; Bacilli; Caryophanales; Staphylococcaceae
Description: partial 16S ribosomal RNA
Rfam family: Bacterial small subunit ribosomal RNA
Source: RNAcentral
AAGACGGUCUUGCUGUCACUUAUAGAUGGAUCCGCGCUGCAUUAGCUAGUUGGUAAGGUAACGGCUUACCAAGGCAACGAUGCAUAGCCGACCUGAGAGGGUGAUCGGCCACACUGGAACUGAGACACGGUCCAGACUCCUACGGGAGGCAGCAGUAGGGAAUCUUCCGCAAUGGGCGAAAGCCUGACGGAGCAACGCCGCGUGAGUGAUGAAGGUCUUCGGAUCGUAA